UUAUUUGCCACUCGCUCUUUGCAUGGGAUUAAGCCCUGUCCCCCAUACUUGUAUGAGGCUAAUCCCUGCCUCCCUAUUUUCAUGAGUCUAAUCCUUGACUCUAUACUUGCAUGAGGCUAAUCCCUGCCUCCCUCCUUGCAUGUGGCUAAUCCUUGCCUCCCCAUUUGCAUGAGUCUAGUCCUUGACUCUAUGAGGCUAAUCCCCGCUUCCAUGCUUGCAUGAGGCUAAUCCUCGCCUCCACAUUUGCAUGAGGCUAAUCCUUGCCUCCCCAUUUGCAUGAGUUUAAUCCUUGACUCCAUGAGGCUAAUCCUUGCCUCCCCAUUUACAUGAGGCUAAUCCUUGACUCCAUGAGGCUAAUCCUUGCCUCCCCAUUUGCAUGAGUCUGAUCCUUGACUCUAUGAGGCUAAUCCUUGACUCCCCAUUUGCAUGAGUCUAAUCCUUGACUCUAUCCCUGCCUCCAUACUUGCAUAAGGUUAAUCCUCAUCUCCACAUUUGCAUGAGGCUAAUCCUUGCCUCCCCGUUU
This 523-nucleotide long non-coding RNA is filed under the name Nicotiana tabacum (common tobacco). Its description in RNAcentral is "long non-coding RNA (NTAB_LNC015620)". The record is from RNAcentral. Lineage: Eukaryota; Viridiplantae; Streptophyta; Magnoliopsida; Solanales; Solanaceae.